UUAACCGAAAGGUUGGUGGUUCGAGC
Molecule: non-coding RNA, 26 nt
Filed under: Callithrix jacchus (white-tufted-ear marmoset)
Lineage: Eukaryota; Metazoa; Chordata; Mammalia; Primates; Cebidae
Also listed under: 7 other names
Source: RNAcentral